RNAcentral lists this transfer-messenger RNA (387 nucleotides) under Streptomyces chartreusis. RNAcentral describes it as "Standard tmRNA". It matches the Rfam family "transfer-messenger RNA". From Rfam's summary of the family: Bacterial tmRNA, also known as 10Sa RNA or SsrA, is named for its dual tRNA and mRNA-like properties. Its role is to liberate the mRNA from a stalled ribosome. Lineage: Bacteria; Bacillati; Actinomycetota; Actinomycetes; Kitasatosporales; Streptomycetaceae. RNAcentral also lists the same sequence under 1 other name. The record is from RNAcentral.
GGGGGCGAUCGGUUUCGACUGCGAAUGUUCAAUCCAGGAGAAGCGUGCCGAGGCAUGCGGCGAACACCUCGCUAAACAGGCGCCGUCAACAAUAAAUGCCGACAAGAACUCGGCCGCGCGUACCACCUACGCACUCGCUGUCUAACCGCAGCCAGAUGGUGUGACCGCUGUCAGCCCGGGAAGCCUCCGGCCCGGUGCCUGGCAUCAAUGAGGAGGAUCCACCUUGGUAUCCGGCUGCGGGACCCCAAGGAACACUCAACAGCAGCUAAGCCCACGGCGACGAGUCCGCACGAUCGCCAUGGGCCGAAAACUGAGCAGCGGACUGCGCACGGAGAAGAACUGGAAUGACCUCGUAGGACCCGGGUUCGAUUCCCGGCGCCUCCACGU